Hydractinia symbiolongicarpus is the source of this 1601-nucleotide long non-coding RNA. RefSeq lists it as uncharacterized. The record is from RefSeq and is a predicted model, not a curated record. NCBI's taxonomy places the organism in Eukaryota, Metazoa, Cnidaria, Hydrozoa, Anthoathecata, Hydractiniidae. The transcript has 2 exons.
ACAAAUCAUAAUAUGUAAUCAUCACUUAGAUUUGCAUGAAUACUACUAUUUAUUGCAUCCCACAACUGUUCUACCAUCUUUAUACUAGGCUGUUUAGUCACGUGAUCAAAAGCCGUAGAAUUUUUUUUGCCGUAGCGAACUCGCAUACCGUAGACAGAUUUUCCCGAGAUUUUAUACGUAUGUGCCCAUCCAAAGCUAUUUUCCGACUAUGUUUUUCCUUAUUAGGCAUUUUUCGAUAGACACCUCUUUGCACAGAAUAGGCCGAGGUUUGUUUUGAUUGAUGAUAGAAGUUUGUAGCUGUUAACGUUGAAGAGUUACAGGAUUUUGAAUUUUAAGAAUUUGACUUCAAGAUAUCUUGGCCAAACAUCUGAAUGCAGUGGUUGUACAGUUAAACGUGUUUAUAUACUUUGUAUAAAAAAUGGUAUUUCUGGCAUGAGUAUAAAAUAUUUAUAUUAUGUCAAUGACUUUAUAUUAAAGUUUUUAUUUAGCUUAAUUUUAUGAUUUUGAUAUUUGUUUCUUUCUGGAUUUUUGCCCAUCUCUCUACAGUAUUUAACAGCCUGGUCUGCAAAACAUCAAUAAUUUUUUAUAGUUUAAUUUACUGUUUUUAUCACAAUUCUGUUAAUUAACCUAUACAAACUUCGCAAAUGGCUUAUAUACCUGGUUUCCUUUUUAGUUCUUACCCCCGUCUUUUUUAAAUUUAACAGUCUGGUCUGUAAAUUACACAUAUUUAUCACAUGAUAUUUUUUGUAGUUUUAAUUACUGUUUUACCAUGGUUCUGUUCUUUUUAAUUUAAUGCAACUUCGCCAACAAUGGCUUAUUUAAAACUGGUUUCUUUUUAGUUUUACCCCCGUCUUUCUCUAUUUAACUGUCUGGUCUGUAAAAUACACACCUUAUCACGUGAUAUUUUUUGUAGUUUUAAUUACUGUUUUAUCACAGCAAUUUAAUGCAACUUCGCCAAUGACUUAUUUAUAACUGGUUUCUUUUUAGUUUUACCCCCGUCUUUCUCUAUUUAACUGUCUGGUCUGUAAAAUACACAUAUUAUCACAUGAUAUUUUUUGUAAUUUGAACUAUAUACUGUUUUAUCACAGUUUUUUUUUUUUAUUAAUUUAAUGCAACUUCGCCAAUGGCUUAUUUAUUACUGGUUUCUUUUUAGUUUUACCCCCGUCUUUCUCUGUUAACAGUCUGGCCUGUAAAAUACACAUCAUAUCACGUGAUAAUUUUAUAGGUUUUCUUCUUUUAAGUUCUAGUGACGUUUAUAGUUACUUAUUUCUAGUUACGUGAUAGGAUUACUUUUCAUUUUUAUGUUAGUUUUUACAGUUAUUUUACCAAUGUUAUGUAUAUUUUACCAUAUAUGGAAAAAGUAAAAAUGGCGGCAUAAUGACGUCAGAUAUGAAAAAAAAAAUUGCAAAUGUCUUUCUUAGCAUAAAUUUUACCAACCCUAAAAUUUUCAUUCUAUAAUGUUUAGUUAUACCAAAGUUAUUGUACACGUAGCAAAGGUCUCAAAAUGAGUUUAAAAACAGUCGUUUUGGUGCCAAAAAUGUUCUACUUGGAAUGCACUUAUUUUUUCUAAUUUUUGCUACCAAUUACGCAUACUAAAAUAG